Molecule: long non-coding RNA, 1032 nt
Organism: Pezoporus occidentalis (night parrot)
Lineage: Eukaryota; Metazoa; Chordata; Aves; Psittaciformes; Psittacidae
Exons: 3
Source: RefSeq, a predicted model, not a curated record
AAUCAGCAUGCCCGGAGAGGUCGGCUCAUUGGGUGCCAUAAUAGCCUAAGAAGCCUCUUAGAUGAUUUCCCUGUCAUCAGAGACAAGUCCUUCAUAAUUGAACUAUCUCAAGGAAAAUAAGAGGAGCAUGGAAAACCUUGCAGCCGAUCCCAGAUCCUUCCAUCCUCGAUCACUGUCUUUGCUCUCUCCAGAUGGAUGCACCUUCCUCAACUUGUGGUUCAUCCCUCACCCUACUGAAGCAUUGAUCAUGUUCAAAACACUUCCAGAGAAGACUGCUCUCAGAGCUCUCCACCUAAGCCUAGAAAUCAUUGGUGCAUUUCACAACAUGGUUUCGUAUCUCUUAGCUUCUGCUCACUUAGGAAAUUCCCCAAACUGAAAAGCCUCUGAUCCCAGACUGGGGGGGGACCAACAGGACUGCUAAGUAACAAAUACUGUGUCCUUAAGGUAAAUGGUUCCAAGUGCAAAAUGAUGAAGUGCUGAUGGUGAAAAAGCGACAAGAGGAGUAUGAAGAUGAGAUUGACGUCAGCUGAAGAAUAAUGACAGAAUUCUAUCUUUUUUUUUUUACUCUUUUUAUGCUCCAUUUUACUGAUGGAAGACUGUGUUUUGGGAGCAUGCCCACCACAUCAUAAUAUCUGUCACAAUCUCACAGCAAAGCAGUGUACCUACAGGGCUUGGGAGGUCUGCUCCAGCAGGGAACAGAAAACAUGGUCCAAAAAUUGCUCUUCCGCCUCUAGCAAGUGUCUGUUAAGCCAUCUGGUCAGCCCAUGUUGAUUUUAUCUUUACCAGGAGAUUAAAAAAGGCAGGCUUGGGUUCCUCCUCUAGUAAAUCUUGAUACUCCUUCCAAAGGGUGAAACAGCUGAGCUAUGUGUUGUCCUGCAUGAACAUGGAUUUGUGCAGAAAUAGGACUGGUUUCCCCAGUAGCUUUGACCUGUUGUUCAAGUUAAGCUGUACUGCAGGAGUAGGAUUUACCAACCUUUCCUUUAGUGAGGUGUGUAACUGCUGGCAACUAACCACCAUUUAGGUACCUCUGCU